RNAcentral lists this ribosomal RNA (492 nucleotides) under uncultured bacterium. RNAcentral's name for it is "partial 16S ribosomal RNA". It matches the Rfam family "Bacterial small subunit ribosomal RNA", at positions 29 to 507 of the family's 1533-position model. The record is from RNAcentral.
AGUGAACGCUGGCGGUAGGCCUAACACAUGCAAGUCGAACGGCAGCACAGUAAGAGCUUGCUCUUACGGGUGGCGAGUGGCGGAAGGGUGAGGAAUACAUCGGAAUCUACUUUUUCGUGGGGGAUAACGUAGGGAAACUUACGCUAAUACCGCAUACGACCUACGGGUGAAAGCAGGGGAUCUUCGGACCUUGCGCGAUUGAAUGAGCCGAUGUCGGAUUAGCUAGUUGGCGGGGUAAAGGCCCACCAAGGCGACGAUCCGUAGCUGGUCUGAGAGGAUGAUCAGCCACACUGGAACUGAGACACGGUCCAGACUCCUACGAGAGGCAGCAGUGGGGAAUAUUGGACAAUGGGCGCAAGCCUGAUCCAGCCAUACCGCGUGGGUGAAGAAGGCCUUCGGGUUGUAAAGCCCUUUUGUUGGGAAAGAAAAGCAGCAGGUUAAUACCCCGCUGUUCUGACGGUACCCAAAGAAUAAGCACCGGCUAACUUCGUG